Molecule: ribosomal RNA, 463 nt
Filed under: uncultured bacterium
Lineage: Bacteria
Description: partial 16S ribosomal RNA
Rfam family: Bacterial small subunit ribosomal RNA
Source: RNAcentral
GAUGAACGCUGACAGAAUGCUUAACACAUGCAAGUCGAAGGGGAAGUGGUUCUUGCACCAUGGUAACCAUGGCGGACGGGGGAGUAACACGUAAGGAACUUACCUGCUGGACCGGGGUAACAGCAGGAAACUGCUGACAAGACCGGAUAAGGGCAUUAAGCUGCAUAGCUGAGGGAUGAAAGGAGACGCCUGCGGGGAGCCUUGCGUCCUAUUAGCUAGUUGGUGGGGUAACGGCCCACCAAGGCGAAGAUAGGUAGCCGGCCUGAGAGGGUGGACGGCCACAAGGGGACUGAGAUACGGCCCUUACCCAUACGGGAGGCAGGAGUGGGGAAUAGUGGAAAAGGGGGGCAACCCUGAUAGAGAAAUUCUGUGUGGAAGAAGACGGUUUUCGGAUUGUAAAGUGCUUUCAGCAGGGAAGAAGGAAGUGACGGUACCUGCAGAAGAAGCGACGGCUAACUACGUG